CCUANGGGUGGCUGCAGUCGAGAAUCUUCGGCAAUGGGCGAAAGCCUGACCGAGCGACGCCGCGUGCGGGAUGAAGGCCUUCGGGUUGUAAACCGCUGUCGGAGGGGAUGAAAUGCUGGUGGGUUAUCCCAUCAGCUUGACUGAUCCUCGGAGGAAGGGUGGGCUAAGUUCGUGCCAGCAGCCGCGGUAAGACGUACCACCCAAACGUUAUUCGGAAUCACUGGGCUUAAAGAGUCCGUAGGCGGCUCGGAAAGUUGGAUGUGAAAUACCUCGGCUCAACCGAGGAACAGCAUUCAAAACUACCGGACUUGAGAGAGACAGAGGUAAGCGGAACUGAUGGUGGAGCGGUGAAAUGCGUUGAUAUCAUCAGGAACACCGGUGGCGAAAGCGGCUUACUGGGUCUUUUCUGACGCUGAGGGACGAAAGCUAGGGGAGCGAACGGGAUUAGAUACCCUUNUANUC
Molecule: ribosomal RNA, 462 nt
Filed under: uncultured bacterium
Lineage: Bacteria
Description: bacterial SSU rRNA
Rfam family: Bacterial small subunit ribosomal RNA
Source: RNAcentral